RNAcentral lists this ribosomal RNA (332 nucleotides) under uncultured bacterium. RNAcentral describes it as "bacterial SSU rRNA". It matches the Rfam family "Bacterial small subunit ribosomal RNA", at positions 568 to 898 of the family's 1533-position model. The record is from RNAcentral.
CGUGUAGGCGGUUGGGUAAGUCAGAUGUGAAAGCCUUCUGCUUAACAGAAGAAGUGCAUUUGAAACUGCUCGGCUAGAGUACGGGAGAGGAGAGUGGAAUUCCCGGUGUAGAGGUGAAAUUCGUAGAUAUCGGGAGGAACACCAGUGGCGAAGGCGGCUCUCUGGUCCGAUACUGACGCUGAGACGCGAAAGCGUGGGGAGCAAACAGGAUUAGAUACCCUGGUAGUCCACGCCGUAAACGAUGGGCACUAGGUGUAGGAGGUAUUGACCCCUUCUGUGCCGAAGCUAACGCAUUAAGUGCCCCGCCUGGGGAGUACGGCCGCAAGGCUAAA